Molecule: ribosomal RNA, 265 nt
Filed under: uncultured prokaryote
Description: partial 16S ribosomal RNA
Rfam family: Bacterial small subunit ribosomal RNA
Source: RNAcentral
UACGUAGGGUGCGAGCGUUGUCCGGAAUUACUGGGCGUAAAGAGCUCGUAGGUGGUUUGUCGCGUCGUCUGUGAAAUUCCGGGGCUUAACCUCGGGCGUGCAGGAGAUACGGGCAAUACUUGAGUGCUGUAGGGGAGACUGGAAUUCCUGGUGUAGCGGUGAAAUGCGCAGAUAUCAGGAGGAACACCGAUGGCGAAGGCAGGUCUCUGGGCAGUAACUGACGCUGAGGAGCGAAAGCAUGGGUAGCGAACAGGAUUAGAUACCA